Molecule: ribosomal RNA, 497 nt
Filed under: Alternaria sp. N19
Lineage: Eukaryota; Fungi; Ascomycota; Dothideomycetes; Pleosporales; Pleosporaceae
Description: SSU rRNA
Rfam family: Eukaryotic small subunit ribosomal RNA
Source: RNAcentral
AUAAGCAAUUAUACCGUGAAACUGCGAAUGGCUCAUUAAAUCAGUUAUCGUUUAUUUGAUAAUACCUUACUACUUGGAUAACCGUGGUAAUUCUAGAGCUAAUACAUGCUGAAAAUCCCGACUUCGGAAGGGAUGUGUUUAUUAGAUAAAAAACCAAUGCCCUUCGGGGCUUUUUGGUGAUUCAUGAUAACUUUACGGAUCGCAUAGCCUUGCGCUGGCGACGGUUCAUUCAAAUUUCUGCCCUAUCAACUUUCGAUGGUAAGGUAUUGGCUUACCAUGGUUUCAACGGGUAACGGGGAAUUAGGGUUCGAUUCCGGAGAGGGAGCCUGAGAAACGGCUACCACAUCCAAGGAAGGCAGCAGGCGCGCAAAUUACCCAAUCCCGACACGGGGAGGUAGUGACAAUAAAUACUGAUACAGGGCUCUUUUGGGUCUUGUAAUUGGAAUGAGUACAAUUUAAACCUCUUAACGAGGAACAAUUGGAGGGCAAGUCUGGGC